This 200-nucleotide unclassified non-coding RNA is filed under the name soil metagenome. RNAcentral's name for it is "partial contains internal transcribed spacer 2 and large subunit ribosomal RNA". The record is from RNAcentral.
GAUCAUGAUGCGUGUGAUUGAGUUUCACUGCAUUGAAAUACAACAAGCUGAAUUCUUAUACUUGCGGCUUGACCUGUUGUCGUAACUUGAAAACCAAUGGGGGAUCGCAAGACAAGGAAAGGAGCUUACCAUAAACGUUGGCUUGCCCAACACAAGUGCAUUUUGACCUCAAAUCAAGUAGGACUACCCGCUGAACUUAA